CGCACUGCUAGUCCAGCCGCGUAUUCCAGUCUUU
RNAcentral lists this ribosomal RNA (34 nucleotides) under Solanum lycopersicum (tomato). RNAcentral describes it as "partial 28S ribosomal RNA". The record is from RNAcentral. Lineage: Eukaryota; Viridiplantae; Streptophyta; Magnoliopsida; Solanales; Solanaceae.